Molecule: ribosomal RNA, 519 nt
Filed under: uncultured bacterium
Lineage: Bacteria
Description: bacterial SSU rRNA
Rfam family: Bacterial small subunit ribosomal RNA
Source: RNAcentral
GACGAACGCUGGCGGCAUGCCUAAUACAUGCAAGUCGAGCGAACAAUUUAAGGAGCUUGCUUCUUAAAUUGUUAGCGGCGGAUGGGUGAGUAACACGUGGGCAACCUGCCCUGCAGAUGGGGAUAACUCCGGGAAACCGGGGCUAAUACCGAAUAAUCAGUUUGUUCGCAUGAACAAACUCUGAAAGACGGCUUACGCUGUCACUGCAGGAUGGGCCCGCGGCGCAUUAGCUAGUUGGUGGGAUAACGGCCUACCAAGGCGACGAUGCGUAGCCGACCGGAGAGGGUGAUCGGCCACACUGGGACUGAGACACGGCCCAGACUCCUACGGGAGGCAGCAGUAGGGAAUCUUCCACAAUGGACGAAAGUCUGAUGGAGCAAUGCCGCGUGAGUGAAGAAGGUUUUCGGAUCGUAAAACUCUGUUGUGAGGGAAGAACAAGUACGGGAGUAACUGCCCGUACCUUGACGGUACCUCAUUAGAAAGCCACGGCUAACUACGUGCCAGCAGCCGCAGUAAUAC